This 292-nucleotide ribosomal RNA is filed under the name uncultured bacterium. Its description in RNAcentral is "partial 16S ribosomal RNA". The record is from RNAcentral.
GGACUACCCGGGUAUCUAAUCCCGUUCGCUCCCCUAGCUUUCGCACCCGAGCGUCAGGUGCUUCCCAGGAUGGUGCCUUCGCCUUUGGUGUUCUUCCGGAUCUCUACGCAUUUCACCACUCCACCCGGAAUUCCCCAUCCCUCUGAAGCCCUCAAGUUGGUCCAUGUCCACAGGCCUGAUCCAGUUAAGCCGGACCCUGUCCCUGUCGAUGCGACCAACCGCCUGCGUGCGCUUUACGCCCAGUAACUCCGGACAACGCUCGCCUCCUACGUAUUACCGCGGCUGCUGGCAC